GCGAGCUUAGCUCAGUUGGUUAGAGCGCCGGGUUGUGGUUCCGGAGGUCGUGGGUUCAAUCCCCAUAGUUCGCCCCA
RNAcentral lists this transfer RNA (77 nucleotides) under Candidatus Saccharimonadota bacterium. Its description in RNAcentral is "tRNA-His". It matches the Rfam family "tRNA". From Rfam's summary of the family: Transfer RNA (tRNA) molecules are approximately 80 nucleotides in length. Their secondary structure includes four short double-helical elements and three loops (D, anti-codon, and T loops). RNAcentral also lists the same sequence under 1 other name. The record is from RNAcentral. Lineage: Bacteria; Candidatus Saccharimonadota.